RNAcentral lists this signal recognition particle RNA (300 nucleotides) under Aotus nancymaae (Ma's night monkey). Its description in RNAcentral is "Metazoan signal recognition particle RNA (ENSANAG00000007915.1)". It matches the Rfam family "Metazoan signal recognition particle RNA". Rfam says of the family: The signal recognition particle (SRP) is a universally conserved ribonucleoprotein. It is involved in the co-translational targeting of proteins to membranes. The eukaryotic SRP consists of a 300-nucleotide 7S RNA and six proteins: SRPs 72, 68, 54, 19, 14, and 9. The record is from RNAcentral. Lineage: Eukaryota; Metazoa; Chordata; Mammalia; Primates; Aotidae.
GCUGGGCGUGGUGGCGCGUGCCUGUAGUCCCAGCUACUCGGGAGGCUGAAGUGGGAGGAUCGCUUGAGCCCAGGAGUUCUGGGCUGUAGUGCGCUAUGCCAAUCAGGUGUCUGCACUAAGUUCGGCAUCAAUAAUGGUGACCUCCUGGGAGCGGGGGACCACCAGGUUGCCUAAGGAGGGGUGCACUGGCCCAGGUCGGAAACGGAGCAGGUCAAAACUUCCGUGCUGUUCAGUAGUGGGAUCGUGCCUGUGAAUAGCCACUGCACUCCAGCCUGGGCAACAUAGCGAGACCCCAUCUCU